This 82-nucleotide non-coding RNA is filed under the name Chloroflexota bacterium. RNAcentral describes it as "Chloroflexi bacterium c-di-GMP-II sequence". It matches the Rfam family "Cyclic di-GMP-II riboswitch aptamer". The record is from RNAcentral. Lineage: Bacteria; Bacillati; Chloroflexota.
GAUGGCAUAGGAAGCACUGAACUGUCACCUGUACAUGGUCACUUGGGUGGCGGGGAGCCAAUAGUGAAACCGACCUGACAAU